Molecule: long non-coding RNA, 1402 nt
Filed under: Struthio camelus australis
Lineage: Eukaryota; Metazoa; Chordata; Aves; Struthioniformes; Struthionidae
Description: lncRNA (ENSSCUG00000007973.1)
Source: RNAcentral
AUUAUGAACCAGAUCUCAUAAGUGUUUUGCACAGAUGACACAUAAUACCAAUAUUCUAGCUUAUAGGAAAAGCUGCAUGGCACUUUUAAUACAAUUAUAGGCACAAAGAGACAUCAGCCCUGAUCUUAGAGAUUGCAUUUAAACAAAUAUCAAAACUGUCACUGAAUUUAAAAAAAAAAAAAAAAAAAAGCUCCUUGGAUGCAAUUGCCUCUUUUAUUGUUACCUUUGCUCAGCAUCAUGAGAGAGCUAUUAGGAGGCACAAAUAGCCAGCCCUUCCCCUAGCCUGUCUGCUCAUAUAGUCCAGGCAUACUGGACCUCCCAUCCUAAGGCAGAAGUCCCAUACUGCUCCUCACCAUUAGCAUAACAGGUAUUGCUGGUGCAAGUGGUGGUUCAAAGCAGAUGAGAGCAUCCUGAAAGUGCUCUAAUUUAGAUUGGGACAAGACCUCUAGAUCUCACCACUAGCAUGUUUUUAUAUUAUGUGCUCCAUAAUGAUUGAGCUCCCAGCUGAUCAGCAGCACACCAUUGUCCCUAUCUUCUCUGUUAUUUAGCUCCCACGGUAGAAGGAAGAGGUUGCCUGUGCUUGGAAGAGCAUGAAAAGGAGGAUUACUGAAGGAGCACUCCUUGCUGUUCUGAUAGCGCAGUCACCCUGUGCGGCACCGGGAGCAAGGGAAGUUAAGAAAUAAAAAGGAGGCAGAAAACUUCUCCAAUACUGAUUUGCUGCGUGGAGUUGAAAGCACGAACAUAAACAGAUGGCACAGGCUUCAUCUGCGCACAGACCCAAGCGGCCUUCCAGCGCCUUCGCCUUCACGGUGACACCUCCUCCAGCCCUGCCCCUGGCGACCGUGCAACAGCCCUGGGCCAAGUGGAGCAACGACUACACAGCCAAGUUGUACCAGAGAAUGAUUCAGUAUAUGCUUUUCAUCUUUUAGCGCACUUUAACUACCGAAAAUUCGGAAAAGUGUCAGCAUCCAGUAACCAGCAAGGUCUACCGUGUGUCCCACCCGAAUCAUCAGCUGGUUAUCAGGCCACAGCUGUAGGAUACCACAUGUCAAGGAGGAGCUCUCACUAUGUACAUGAUGCUUCCUUCUUGUUAGAAAAAAUAAAAAUAUAUAUAUUCUUUUCUGACUUCCCUAAAGGAGCAAAAUUGCCAAGCAGGAAGCAAACUGUGUUAAGAGAUAAAGGGAGUUAUAAUCACAGGCUUAGUACCAGCACAGAAGUCUCUAAGAGCAACUGCACUCAGAAAAAAAUUACUCAGUAAACAUCUGAAUGUCUGCUAAACCAAAAAUAUGACUCAUUAGGUACCAACUGACUGUCAGUGACUACUGUUUGUUUGUUCUCAAUUUUUAUUUAAUUCUUCUAACUCAGAUAAAUAAAUCUUGCUCCAGCCCUAAUGUGUGACUCA